Molecule: small RNA, 62 nt
Filed under: marine metagenome
Description: pntA sRNA
Rfam family: pntA sRNA
Source: Rfam by way of RNAcentral
UUUUAUGGAUAAUAAAAACCAUAAAGAUGCUUGGAUUAAUUUCACUAAAUUUGUGUUGUGGG